This 256-nucleotide ribosomal RNA is filed under the name uncultured bacterium. RNAcentral describes it as "partial 16S ribosomal RNA". It matches the Rfam family "Bacterial small subunit ribosomal RNA", at positions 524 to 776 of the family's 1533-position model. The record is from RNAcentral.
UACGGGGGGAGCAAGGCGUUGUUCGGAUUUACUGGGCGUAAAGGGCGCGUAGGCGGUCAGCACAAGUCAGUUGUGAAAUCUCCGGGCUUAACUCGGAAAGGUCAACUGAUACUGUGCGACUAGAGUGCAGAAGGGGCAACUGGAAUUCGUCGGUGUAGCGGUGAAAUGCGUAGAUAUCGAGAGGAACACCUGCGGCGAAGGCGGGUUGCUGGGCUGACACUGACGCUGAUGCGCGAAAGCCAGGGGAGCGAACGGG